Corapipo altera (White-ruffed manakin) is the source of this 239-nucleotide long non-coding RNA. RefSeq lists it as uncharacterized. The transcript is spliced from 3 exons. The record is from RefSeq and is a predicted model, not a curated record. Lineage: Eukaryota; Metazoa; Chordata; Aves; Passeriformes; Pipridae.
UGAAAAGAGGACACUGCUGGAAAAGGAGUCCCAUGGAUGAGCCCAUAGUGGCACCUUGGCCAUGACAUCCACCAGAACUGAGGGAUCUUUGAAGCACACCUCCUAACUGCACUCCUAGGAGGAAACGGCCCCCAGAAUGGCACUGAUUCCAAUGAUGUCCCUGUUUUGCCCUGAUCACUCCAUCCAUAGCCACAGCACCCUGCUACCACAUCUCUUUUCAGAUCUGAAGAGCACAAGUC